Molecule: ribosomal RNA, 599 nt
Filed under: Vibrio azureus
Lineage: Bacteria; Pseudomonadati; Pseudomonadota; Gammaproteobacteria; Vibrionales; Vibrionaceae
Description: bacterial SSU rRNA
Rfam family: Bacterial small subunit ribosomal RNA
Source: RNAcentral
AAAUUGCCCUGAUGUGGGGGAUAACCAUUGGAAACGAUGGCUAAUACCGCAUGAUGCCUACGGGCCAAAGAGGGGGACCUUCGGGCCUCUCGCGUCAGGAUAUGCCUAGGUGGGAUUAGCUAGUUGGUGAGGUAAGGGCUCACCAAGGCGACGAUCCCUAGCUGGUCUGAGAGGAUGAUCAGCCACACUGGAACUGAGACACGGUCCAGACUCCUACGGGAGGCAGCAGUGGGGAAUAUUGCACAAUGGGCGCAAGCCUGAUGCAGCCAUGCCGCGUGUGUGAAGAAGGCCUUCGGGUUGUAAAGCACUUUCAGUCGUGAGGAAGGUAGUGUCGUUAAUAGCUGCUUUAUUUGACGUUAGCGACAGAAGAAGCACCGGCUAACUCCGUGCCAGCAGCCGCGGUAAUACGGAGGGUGCGAGCGUUAAUCGGAAUUACUGGGCGUAAAGCGCAUGCAGGUGGUUUGUUAAGUCAGAUGUGAAAGCCCGGGGCUCAACCUCGGAAUAGCAUUUGAAACUGGCAGACUAGAGUACUGUAGAGGGGGGUAGAAUUUCAGGUGUAGCGGUGAAAUGCGUAGAGAUCUGAAGGAAUACCGGUGGCG